This 65-nucleotide transfer RNA is filed under the name Cavia porcellus (domestic guinea pig). It matches the Rfam family "tRNA". Rfam says of the family: Transfer RNA (tRNA) molecules are approximately 80 nucleotides in length. Their secondary structure includes four short double-helical elements and three loops (D, anti-codon, and T loops). The record is from Rfam by way of RNAcentral. Lineage: Eukaryota; Metazoa; Chordata; Mammalia; Rodentia; Caviidae.
GGUAUAGCUCAAUGGUAGAGCACAUGUUUAGCAUAUGCACCACCCUGGGUUCAAUUCCCAGUACC